RNAcentral lists this ribosomal RNA (497 nucleotides) under uncultured bacterium. Its description in RNAcentral is "partial 16S ribosomal RNA". It matches the Rfam family "Bacterial small subunit ribosomal RNA", at positions 28 to 507 of the family's 1533-position model. The record is from RNAcentral.
GAUGAACGCUGGCGGCGUGCCUAAUACAUGCAAGUCGAGCGAACAGACGAGGAGCUUGCUCCUUCGACGUUAGCGGCGGACGGGUGAGUAACACGUAGGUAACCUACCUAUAAGACUGGGAUAACCUCGGGAAACCGGAGCUAAUACCGGAUAAUAUUUCGAACCGCAUGGUUCGAUAGUGAAAGAUGGCUUUGCUAUCACUUAUAGAUGGACCUGCGCCGUAUUAGCUAGUUGGUAAGGUAACGGCUUACCAAGGCAACGAUACGUAGCCGACCUGAGAGGGUGAUCGGCCACACUGGAACUGAGACACGGUCCAGACUCCUACGGGAGGCAGCAGUAGGGAAUCUUCCGCAAUGGGCGAAAGCCUGACGGAGCAACGCCGCGUGAGUGAUGAAGGUCUUCGGAUCGUAAAACUCUGUUAUUAGGGAAGAACAAACGUGUAAGUAACUGUGCACGUCUUGACGGUACCUAAUCAGAAAGCCACGGCUAACUACGCG